RNAcentral lists this ribosomal RNA (468 nucleotides) under uncultured bacterium. Its description in RNAcentral is "partial 16S ribosomal RNA". It matches the Rfam family "Bacterial small subunit ribosomal RNA", at positions 28 to 507 of the family's 1533-position model. The record is from RNAcentral.
GACGAACGCUGGCGGCGUGCUUAACACAUGCAAGUCGAACGGAAAGGCCCUGCUUUUGUGGGGUGCUCGAGUGGCGAACGGGUGAGUAACACGUGAGUAACCUGCCCUUGACUUUGGGAUAACUUCAGGAAACUGGGGCUAAUACCGGAUAGGAGCUCCUGCUGCAUGGUGGGGGUUGGAAAGUUUCGGCGGUUGGGGAUGGACUCGCGGCUUAUCAGCUUGUUGGUGGGGGAGUGGCUUACCAAGGCUGUGACGGGUAGCCGGCCUGGGAGGGUGACCGGCCACAUGGGGACUGAGAGACGGCCCAGACUCCUACGGGGGGCAGCAGGGGGGAGUAUUGCACAAUGGGCGGAAGCCUGAUGCAGCAACGCCGCGUGCGGGAUGACGGCCUUCGGGUUGUAAACCGCUUUCGCCUGUGACGAAGCGUGAGUGACGGUAAUGGGUAAAGAAGCACCGGCUAACUACGUG